GUUAAGCUGAGGGUGGGAGGCGCUAGGUAGUUAAGCUUGCUUGCAGCUAGCCCAUUGAUCAGUAUGGACUGGGACUGCCACAACAGACACUGCUCACAGACAGACUUACCAACAGACAGACUGACCAACAGACAGAGGACAGCACCUAUACUCCGUAGGCUACUGCAGAGAGAGAGAGCAAAAAAGAGUGAGAUUGCCACAACAGGUUUCCAUAGACUGCUGUAGCGAGAGAGUGAGAGAAAAUGAGAGGGAGAUGAGAAAAUAGAGAGAAUUGAAGAUCAGAUAAUGAAAGAAGGGUGACCAGUGAAUGGAGAGAAGAGAUAGAAGAUAAAUAAUAACAGAAAAAAUAUGCAAAACAAGACUAAGAGAAAAAAACGAUAUUAGAGAGAGAGAGAGAGAGAGAGCGAGAGAGAGAGAGAGAGAGCGAGAGAGAGAGAGAGAGAGAGAGAGAGGAGCCAGAGCACGUUGUUCGCAGUGUUCUGAGCAGACACUGUCAGAGGAAAGAAAGGUGACAAGGAAAAGAGCUGCCACUGAGAGAAAGAAGAGAAGCGGGAGAGUGAGUGUGUGAAUUGUGAAGCUGGACUGGAAGAGAUGCCAGGAGCCCUGGGUCUGGGAAUCACACACACAUCAAACACAGUAUGAAGCUGCCUAGACGUGAUGACAGCGCUGCUAUACAGACUGGCCUUGCAGAAAAACUCCCCUCUUUGCCCAGUCAGGAUUACUUACUGCAAGGGUCUUAACCAGCAGUACUCCAUCUCAGAGGCUAAAAACAGACACGGAGAAACCCUUAACAAGGCCUUAUUAGAUUACUAGUGAUCCUCAGCUGGAUGUGUUUAAAUGAGUCACAAGCUCCCAGGUAUUCAGUGACAAGAGACGGCGGUCUUUGCUUGGACUGUGCCAAGCAAGGUUGGCCAUUUUUGGGUCCUUGUGGACGGAUGGGCAGACGUG
Molecule: long non-coding RNA, 948 nt
Filed under: Salmo salar (Atlantic salmon)
Lineage: Eukaryota; Metazoa; Chordata; Actinopteri; Salmoniformes; Salmonidae
Description: lncRNA (ENSSSAG00000097233.1)
Source: RNAcentral